Molecule: ribosomal RNA, 310 nt
Filed under: uncultured eukaryote
Lineage: Eukaryota
Description: partial 18S ribosomal RNA
Rfam family: Eukaryotic small subunit ribosomal RNA
Source: RNAcentral
CCCUUAGAUGUUCUGGGCUGCACGCGUGCUACACUGAUUAUUUCAACAAGUGUUUUAACUGGAGAGUUUGCGUAAUCCUGAAAUGUUAUCGUGAUGGGAGUAGAGUAUUGUAUUUGUUAAUCUUUAACGAGGAAUUCCUAGUAAGUGUAGAUUUAUAAGUUGUUCUGAUUACGUCCCUGCCCUUUGUACACACCGCCCGUCGCUCCUACCGAUUGAUUGAUCCGGUGAAUUACAUAGAAUUUUGCGUUUUACAUGACGGAAGACGAAGUGUUUUAAACCUUAUCAUUUAGAGGAAGGAGAAGUCGUAACA